Cercocebus atys (sooty mangabey) is the source of this 249-nucleotide long non-coding RNA. RefSeq lists it as uncharacterized. The transcript is spliced from 3 exons. The record is from RefSeq and is a predicted model, not a curated record. NCBI's taxonomy places the organism in Eukaryota, Metazoa, Chordata, Mammalia, Primates, Cercopithecidae.
UUUACACCCAGAUUGGAUUUUAAUUAUCCUGCUGGCUGGUCUGUUGGUUUGGAUGACAUGAGACACACCACUAGAACACAUGGUAGAAUGAGAUCCAGGCCUGGCCAAUCCUUGUAGACUAUUCUCCAGCCGCCUCAUCAAUUUGUCAGGCUUCAUCUCUGUCCAGAUAUCACCACUGCCUGCUGGAAAUCUCCAACUGGAAGCCUCAGCAACACCAAAAACCCACCUUCUCAUGGAUGCACUCCUUAC